Molecule: long non-coding RNA, 1031 nt
Filed under: Zea mays
Lineage: Eukaryota; Viridiplantae; Streptophyta; Magnoliopsida; Poales; Poaceae
Description: long non-coding RNA (ZMAY_LNC002730)
Source: RNAcentral
AAUUACCCAAGGAUGAAAUCCUUUUUUCUAUUUUGAGAAACAAUUAGUUUGCUAAGCAAACCUUGCCCAAACAGCUUCAAACUUUACCCAAGAGCUAAUAUGUCCAAGAUAAGCUUACACAAAAUUUCCAACAAUUCUUAGUGCUCUAUUUUUAAACACUUCUAGCACCCAAAAUUAUUUGUGGUGACCAACAUAUUAAUCUAACACAUCCAUACAACAUGCUAGCUAGCGGGAGUAGCGAACUAACUAACUACGACUAAUUUAGACUCAGAGACCAUGAAACUGCGGUGAUCUCUAGUUCAGCCAAAACACCGGACAACUGGUGAGCAACGCCCGAAGUAUUGCGCAAAACACAAUCUAAAUCGUUUCUUCUCCAAUCCACCCCGCACAAACACGGGAUAAGGACGAUGACGCUACCUAUAGCCGACCACAACACACAAGAACCAAUUCUUUCGAACUUUCUUCUACAUUUACAUAUAUAUCUGAACCAUGCCUACUCUAACACGCGACAAGCCGAUGAAGCGACAGGAACACAUAAGGCCACACGGAGAAAGCACGCCGAGCACAACGGCCUCCUGGACAUAAGAAGCUGCAGGAGAAGACGACACUAAUUUAAUAAAUUAGACACUUAGCUAACAUUUUCCAAUUGAAAAGAAGUCGAUGACAAACCGGCCAGCUAUACCUUGACGAGACGAUGAAGCUUUUGAACGUAGGCACGGAGAGGACGCUGCGGGACUCGAUGGACACAGGGCGCUGUGCAGUGGAGCACGCAGAGGUGAGCGCGAGCUAGACGCAAACGACGCUGGCGUUCAACAGCCAGAGGCCACCACGCGAGGAUGUAGGGAGACUUCUAGGAGCUGGCAUGUGCUAGAAGCGUGGAGAGGGCCUUGGCAUCGAUGGCUUGAGAGACAUAGGAUGAUAGAACAUUUCCAGAGACUUAUACGUAUUCUAGAUAGGAGAAACAAAAGCAACAUGCAGAUAAGGAGAGGUGACGUGAGGGAGUUGGCCUAGGAUAGGAUUGAAGACGUCCU